This 497-nucleotide ribosomal RNA is filed under the name uncultured bacterium. RNAcentral's name for it is "partial 16S ribosomal RNA". It matches the Rfam family "Bacterial small subunit ribosomal RNA", at positions 28 to 507 of the family's 1533-position model. The record is from RNAcentral.
GAUGAACGCUGGCGGCGUGCCUAAUACAUGCAAGUCGAGCGAACAGACGAGGAGCUUGCUCCUCUGACGUUAGCGGCGGACGGGUGAGUAACACGUGGAUAACCUACCUAUAAGACUGGGAUAACUUCGGGAAACCGGAGCUAAUACCGGAUAAUAUAUUGAACCGCAUGGUUCAAUAGUGAAAGACGGUUUUGCUGUCACUUAUAGAUGGAUCCGCGCCGCAUUAGCUAGUUGGUAAGGUAACGGCUUACCAAGGCAACGAUGCGUAGCCGACCUGAGAGGGUGAUCGGCCAAACUGGAACUGGAACACGGGCCAGACUCCUACGGGGGGCAACAAUAGGGAAUCUUCCGCAAUUGGCGGAAAGCUGACGGAGCAACGGCGCGUGAGUGAUGAAGGUCUUCGGAUCGUAAAACUCUGUUAUUAGGGAAGAACAAAUGUGUAAGUAACUAUGCACGUCUUGACGGUACCUAAUCAGAAAGCCACGGCUAACUACGUG